RNAcentral lists this transfer RNA (73 nucleotides) under Aeromonas media WS. RNAcentral's name for it is "tRNA-Glu". The record is from RNAcentral. Lineage: Bacteria; Pseudomonadati; Pseudomonadota; Gammaproteobacteria; Aeromonadales; Aeromonadaceae.
CGUCCCCUAGGGGAUUCGAACCCCUGUUACCGCCGUGAAAGGGCGGUGUCCUAGGCCUCUAGACGAAGGGGAC